UAGAAAAAUAAUUUCACCGAACAUGAUUAGAUAGUAGGACUAGAUGGUAGGACGUGUUUAUAAUAUUAUAAUAUAUAAACUUUAUAAUAAUUAAAUAACCAUUUGAAAAAAAACUUUUAAAUUGAUUUGAAUUAAAUAUUUUUUAAACUAAAGUAUUAUUAAAACAAAAAUAACAAAAUAAUGUCUAAUUUUACUGAACGGGGUUAGUGGUAGGACGGGUUUGGUCGAUAGUAUUAUGAGACGGUAUACCACAAGUGAAAUCUAUUAGAUAUGUUUAAUUUCAAUGUGCAGGAUUAGAUGGUAUGACGAGUUUUGAUCGAUAAUAAUACGAAACGAUAUACUACGGAUGAAAUCCUAGAUAUAACAACUAAAAUCUAUAUAUACAUUAUCUUAAACACUAAACAAAGCAAACAAUAUUAAUAAAACAAAUAUUUACAUAUACAUUUUAUAUAACAAAUUUUAUUAAAAACCUAGCCCCGCGGUAUACCGCGGGUCAAAAUCUAGUUAAUACUUUAUGGUCUACAGUCAGACUAACACAAAGACCAGCAAGUUCUGUUCUUCAUUAAGUUGUAAUUAGUUCU
This 581-nucleotide small RNA is filed under the name Arabidopsis thaliana (thale cress). RNAcentral's name for it is "ATSL137680". The record is from RNAcentral. Lineage: Eukaryota; Viridiplantae; Streptophyta; Magnoliopsida; Brassicales; Brassicaceae.